This 500-nucleotide ribosomal RNA is filed under the name uncultured bacterium. Its description in RNAcentral is "partial 16S ribosomal RNA". It matches the Rfam family "Bacterial small subunit ribosomal RNA", at positions 30 to 523 of the family's 1533-position model. The record is from RNAcentral.
ACUGAACGCUGGCGGCAUGCCUUACACAUGCAAGUCGAACGGCAGCACGGGAGCAAUCCUGGUGGCGAGUGGCGAACGGGUGAGUAAUGUAUCGGAACGUGCCCAGUCGUGGGGGAUAACGUAGCGAAAGCUACGCUAAUACCGCAUACGAUCUAUGGAUGAAAGCGGGGGAUCGCAAGACCUCGCGCGAUUGGAGCGGCCGAUAUCAGAUUAGGUAGUUGGUGGGGUAAAGGCCAACCAAGCCUGCGAUCUGUAGCUGGUCUGAGAGGACGACCAGCCACACUGGAACUGAGACACGGUCCAGACUCCUACGGGAGGCAGCAGUGGGGAAUUUUGGACAAUGGGCGCAAGCCUGAUCCAGCAAUGCCGCGUGCAGGAUGAAGGCCUUCGGGUUGUAAACUGCUUUUGUACGGAACGAAACGGCUUUUUCUAAUACAGAGAGCUAAUGACGGUACCGUAAGAAUAAGCACCGGCUAACUACGUGCCAGCCGCCGCCGUAA